Long non-coding RNA from Nicotiana attenuata, 1349 nucleotides. RefSeq lists it as uncharacterized. The transcript is spliced from 2 exons. Lineage: Eukaryota; Viridiplantae; Streptophyta; Magnoliopsida; Solanales; Solanaceae. The record is from RefSeq and is a predicted model, not a curated record.
ACAUAUGGGAUAUUUUUUUUAAAAGAAAGAAUUAGACUCGCAAUUUCUUUUAGGUCUCCUUCGCCUUAUGCGCAGCGCUCUUUUCUUGCUGUCUACCGUAGCAGUUCCACCGGUCUUUGCCGCCAUCUGAGUUCGUCUCUACUAGUGAUAUUUCUGAUGUUGGUGCCUCUUCUGCCGUUAGUUUCUUCUCUGCAAUUGGUAUCCUCGUAGAUGAUAAGGACCGAGAAAGCAAUUGGGACGAGUAGGGGGAAUUCGAUGGAUGAUGCCUGAUGUUAAUCAAUCGAGAACAGAGUCUUUCGAUCGCUCUUUCUAUGCUACAUUCGGGCAGUUGCUAAUAGUAGAGUUGCUUAUCAUUAACUACCCUGUCAAAGUAUUACCUGUUUGUUCAAAAUCUGUCAGGUAUCUAUCCAACUCAAUGAUAGUAUUGUUGUUCUCCUUAACUUCUUUUAAUCAAAAUAGUACUUUUGAGUCUUUAUGUGGAUGUUGUUCAUUCUGUUAUCUCGGCAUAGGGAAAAGCUUCAUUUGAAAAGGUAAUAUUUGUGAGUACAAUAAUGCUGUACAAUUUUUUUACAUGUUAUCUUUGACUAAAUUCUACUUUAACUGAGUUUCCCUCUUUCCUUUCUAUUCUCUUCAAGGGGCUUUGUUACCUAAAAUUGGCAUUCGACAAUAGUUAGUUGAACACGUGUUGGUCUUCAUAUUGAGCCGGAGCGUGCAAGUUUAGAGUGUGGCAUCUUGUGGUAAAGGUUCUUAUAGAUUUGGUGGCCAAACAACAUUAUUCUUUCUUAUAGUUAUGUAUUUCUACUCUUACAAAUUAUUUUUGCUCAUUGAUUCAAAGAUAAUUUCCCAACUUGUUUCAGAUUGAGGUAUAGUUGUUGUUAAUUGAAGACAAACUUUGGAAUAUAACAUAGAGGAUACUCGUAAAAAAACUGCAUUAUAUUUAUUUUCUACUUGCUAAUAUGUUAAGCCUAGGGUGUAAUUUUAACUUCAACGUCUUGCUAAUAUAUUUCUCAUUUUAUAAAUGUAUAGGUGACUACAUCAGACAAUCUUCUUGUCUCAAUUCAAGAGAGUAUCAAAUGGGCAGACACAUAAGUAAAUUGGAGAAGAAGCUCCUAGAAAAAGUAGCAGAAAGAGUGGAAGACAGUUGAAGAAGUAAAUAAAUCUCUUGUUGUUCCAAACUUACUUAGAUUUUACUUAGGUAUACACUUAUAAUUAGUUAUAGGGAUCUUCUUUUCAAUUUAUUUUACUUUAGUUCAAAUUGUCUAUGGUGAAUGACAUUUGUAUGUAUAUAUUUUGGAAUUGGAUGGUUAUGGCUUCUGGUAUAAUGAAAUGAAUAGUAGCUUUUGCACUUA